GACGAACGCUGGCGGCGUGCUUAUCACAUGCAAGUCGAACGGAAAGGCCCUGCUUUUGUGGGGUGCUCGAGUGGCGAACGGGUGAGUAACACGUGAGUAACCUGCCCUUGACUUUGGGAUAACUUCAGGAAACUGGGGCUAAUACCGGAUAGGAGCUCCUGCUGCAUGGUGGGGGUUGGAAAGUUUCGGCGAUUGGGGAUGGACUCGCGGCUUAUCAGCUUGUUGGUGGGGUAGUGGCUUACCAAGGCUUUGACGGGUAGCCGGCCUGAGAGGGUGACCGGCCACAUUGGGACUGAGAUACGGCCCAGACUCCUACGGGAGGCAGCAGUGGGGAAUAUUGCACAAUGGGCGGAAGCCUGAUGCAGCAACGCCGCGUGCGGGAUGACGGCCUUCGGGUUGUAAACCGCUUUCGCCUGUGACGAAGCGUGAGUGACGGUAAUGGGUAAAGAAGCACCGGCUAACUACGUG
This 468-nucleotide ribosomal RNA is filed under the name uncultured bacterium. RNAcentral describes it as "partial 16S ribosomal RNA". It matches the Rfam family "Bacterial small subunit ribosomal RNA", at positions 28 to 507 of the family's 1533-position model. The record is from RNAcentral.